AACGAACGCUGGCGGCAUGCCUAACACAUGCAAGUCGAACGAGACCUUCGGGUCUAGUGUCGCACGGGUGCGUAACGCGUGGGAACCUGCCCUUAGGUUCGGAAUAACUCUCCGAAAGGGGUGCUAAUACCGGUUAAUGUCUUCGGAUCAAAGAUUUAUCGCCUUUGGAUGGGCCCGCGUUGGAUUAGCUAGUUUGUAGGGUAAAAGCCUACCAAGGCGCCGAUCCAUAGCUGGUCUGAGAGGAUGAUCAGCCACACUGGGACUGAGACACGGCCCAGACUCCUACGGGAGGCAGCAGUGGGGAAUAUUGGACAAUGGGCGAAAGCCUGAUCCAGCAAUGCCGCGUGAGUGAUGAAGGCCUUAGGGUUGUAAAGCUCUUUUACCCGGGAUGAUAAUGACAGUACCGGAAGAAUAAGCUCCGGCUAACUCCGUG
RNAcentral lists this ribosomal RNA (433 nucleotides) under uncultured bacterium. Its description in RNAcentral is "partial 16S ribosomal RNA". It matches the Rfam family "Bacterial small subunit ribosomal RNA", at positions 29 to 507 of the family's 1533-position model. The record is from RNAcentral.